GCCGGGGUGGUGGAAUUGGUAGACGCAGGGGACUUAAAAUCCUCUGGGGCGUAAGCCCCGUGCGGGUUCAAGUCCCGCCCCCGGCA
This 86-nucleotide transfer RNA is filed under the name Deltaproteobacteria bacterium. RNAcentral describes it as "tRNA-Leu". It matches the Rfam family "tRNA". From Rfam's summary of the family: Transfer RNA (tRNA) molecules are approximately 80 nucleotides in length. Their secondary structure includes four short double-helical elements and three loops (D, anti-codon, and T loops). Lineage: Bacteria; Pseudomonadati; Myxococcota; Myxococcia. The record is from RNAcentral. RNAcentral also lists the same sequence under 1 other name.